Long non-coding RNA from Dermacentor silvarum, 1147 nucleotides. RefSeq lists it as uncharacterized. The record is from RefSeq and is a predicted model, not a curated record. Lineage: Eukaryota; Metazoa; Arthropoda; Arachnida; Ixodida; Ixodidae. The transcript has 2 exons.
UGUAAUUGAGCCUAAUAGCAUAGCUGGCAGCUGGAAGGCUGCAUUUUGGCUUUGGUGUUUAGUGGGAGAAGUGAUGGUGUAUUCACAGUGGUUGCUGACUAAUAACUGUUUAAGUAGACUGUACCUCACCGAGCAUGUUUUACUGGCACAGAGUUCACUACACAUAUUAAAAAUAUUCAGUGUGCAUGGUGUUGCUUGACAUAAUUUUGCAAAGCCAAGAAACAGGAUUGGGUCAGUUUAUGCAGUGUAUUUGUGGCAGACUUGUAGCUCUUGUGCAUUUUUUUUUGAGCUAGCUACUUGUUCUUCCCAUUAAGCCAGCAAGAGUUGAAGCUAUUUCACUUGUGCUUGCUGCUCCUGCCAUCUUAUCUUGUAUGGUUCCCGCUUUCCAGCUGCUCGAAAUCCAAGAAGCUUUGCUUUAUUUUAAUUGUGCAGCUUUUUGCUUUCUUUAUUAGCUUGUCAAAAAACCAUUACAUAUUGAUUUGUGAAGUAUGGCUCUCUGACUGAGAGGCAUAUCACAUUGGUCUGUUUUAUUUUCAGUGUUAUGGCACUUUAAUAUAUACACUGACCCCAAAAGAAAAAAAAAAAAAAAUUGAAGCUUUGCUGUGCUACUUUUGUACUAACUUUUGGUUCCCACUUAUCUUUAGUUUAUCAUGUUCCCUUUUGUUUGUGCACCACAUUUAAUGCUUCAAACUAUUACUGUUUCUUUUACUUUGCAAAAACAGGCGCCCUGUUCGAUCAGUCCCUCCCAGAAUCCCCGACCGGCCGCAGGUUUCAUCUUCACAAUGGCCCUUCUGAGUUUUCCAUCCUUGUGUUCUGUGGAGGACGACCAGCCCAAGAGACUGAUUAAAACAGAGAGCAGUGUGAGAGCAAAGGGCCCAGUGAAGCUGAGAUGUGUUCCAAAGGCAGGCCAGGUCAUGGGAGGAGGGUCGGUGGCAUGAGGUGAAAACGUGGGGGAGGACCGAAAGGGAAGCAUUUUAGGCAGCAGCGUGGCACAUAGGGCAGCCAACCGCCUGUGAUCCCUUGGCAGGGACAUCCCUGUCUAUGUCACCAGAGGUUAGGCGAAAAUCCAGUGCCCUGCUAGUCCCGACUCUGCCUCACUUGUUUGUUUGGAUUGUGUAAGUUUUGUAAUGUAACUUCCUGUGAUUGA